UACGGAGGGAGCUAGCGUUAUUCGGAAUUACUGGGCGUAAAGCGUACGUAGGCGGCUUUGCAAGUUAGAGGUGAAAGCCUGGAGCUCAACUCCAGAACUGCCUUUGAAACUGCAUCGCUUGAAUCCAGGAGAGGUGAGUGGAAUUCCGAGUGUAGAGGUGAAAUUCGUAGAUAUUCGGAAGAACACCAGUGGCGAAGGCGGCUCACUGGACUGGUAUUGACGCUGAGGUACGAAAGCGUGGGGAGCAAACAGG
RNAcentral lists this ribosomal RNA (253 nucleotides) under uncultured bacterium. RNAcentral describes it as "partial 16S ribosomal RNA". It matches the Rfam family "Bacterial small subunit ribosomal RNA", at positions 524 to 776 of the family's 1533-position model. The record is from RNAcentral.